Molecule: non-coding RNA, 234 nt
Filed under: Jeotgalibaca sp.
Lineage: Bacteria; Bacillati; Bacillota; Bacilli; Lactobacillales; Carnobacteriaceae
Description: T-box sequence
Rfam family: T-box leader
About the family: Uncharged tRNA acts as the effector for transcription antitermination of genes in the T-box leader family. T-boxes are found upstream of many aminoacyl-tRNA synthetase genes and some amino acid biosynthetic genes usually in Gram-positive bacteria.
Source: RNAcentral
AGAAAAACGAUGAAGAGAAGAGUAGCUUGUCAGCUUUAAUCAGUAGAGACCCCGGUUAGGUGAAAAAGGGGAUUGAAGACGCAAGUGAAGAUGAACUCUGAGUAUUCAAAAGGUUAACGCUUUUUGAACGGUCGCAACCGAUAUAUUGCCGAGCUUCAAUAGGAGCUAGCGAGGUAUUAGUCAUGAGGCUGAUACGAAUUAGGGUGGUAACACGGAACUUAAUCCGUCCCUUUG